GGAGAGGUGGCUCAGUGGUGAAGAGCAUUUGCUGCUCUUGCAGAGGAUCCGGGUUCAAUUCCCAGCAUCCA
RNAcentral lists this transfer RNA (71 nucleotides) under Mus musculus (house mouse). It matches the Rfam family "tRNA". Rfam says of the family: Transfer RNA (tRNA) molecules are approximately 80 nucleotides in length. Their secondary structure includes four short double-helical elements and three loops (D, anti-codon, and T loops). The record is from Rfam by way of RNAcentral. Lineage: Eukaryota; Metazoa; Chordata; Mammalia; Rodentia; Muridae.